GACGAACGCUUGCGACGUGCCUAAGAAUGCAAGUCGCACGGGCAGGGGUAACCCUGUCAGUGGCGGACGGGUGAGUAACGCGUAGGUAUCUAUCCUUGGGGUGGGGACAACGGUUGGAAACGACUGCUAAUACCGCAUGAUAACUGAGGUUUAAAGGCGCAAGUCGCCUGAGGAGGAGCCUGCGUACGAUUAGCUAGUUGGUGGGGUAAAGGCCUACCAAGGCUGUGAUCGUUAGCUGGCUGAGAGGAUGAUCAGCCACAUUGGGACUGAGACACGGCCCAGACUCCUACGGGGAGGCAGCAGGU
This 305-nucleotide ribosomal RNA is filed under the name uncultured bacterium. Its description in RNAcentral is "bacterial SSU rRNA". It matches the Rfam family "Bacterial small subunit ribosomal RNA", at positions 28 to 358 of the family's 1533-position model. The record is from RNAcentral.